CAUCACUGUCCUGUAUAGAGAGUAGUGUCUACUACUGCAAUCGAAAUAUAGUUGCAUGAUUAUGUCCCAAUCAGUUAAAAAAGAUUUUGUCCUCUCAAACUAAUGGGCUCUCUUGUUCUCUCUCUUUGGCUGGUAUAGUGAUAGCGAUACCCAUUUAUUGCAAUCAAGGAGAUAUGCAGUAACUUUAAAGUGAGAACAUAAUGCUCUUUCUUGGUUCACAAUUGGUCUAACCCCCUUUGUUUUUUUGCUUGUCUUAUUAUGUUCAGAUUGUAUAGCCAAUCAUAUGUUGAUGCUGGAUAGCUUGAUAGAUCAUCUAAAUAUCUACACAGAUACAUCAUCGAAGAUAAUAGAAAGGUAAGAUGACACUGCAUGACAUAGAUGUAUUGGCCAUACACCGUGAACAACAGAAGCUGUGCAUCUGAUAUUGUCCUGUAGUAUAUCUUUUGCUUCCAGAGCAGGCACUUUUGCAUCUAUUUUUCUAGCUGCCUUUUAGUUGCGCCAUUCAUUGAUGUUGUGAUGGAUAAUGACUAUGGAUUUGCCAAGCCAUGCAUUGGUUGCAUUUGUUAUGGCCACAGCAGUACAACAAGUAUUGGUUCAAUUUUUAUGCAAAAUUUGAUUGUGAGUGUGCUGUUUGAUGAUGCUUGCCUCAUCAAUUGUUCAUGUCUUGUGUGAAAUUUGUACCCUAUUAGAAGAUGCCACCAUCAAGUUAAUAAUAACACUAAUGAUCAUUUGAUUCUAGUCUAGAGAUACAACAACAUUAGUUAGAUCCAUUGACGGAUGGAUGAACACACACAACUAGCAGCUUAGCAGUGUUAGCAACCACAAAAAUUAGCCUUGUGAUUCAUUAUGUUGAGGCAAACAUGCUCUAUUCAUUUUGGAUCCCAUCCAUUUACGUGCUAAUAAGCUAGCUCAAGCACAAGCACAUGCUCUAUUCUGUGUGUGCUAAUAAGCUAGCUCAAGCACAAGCACAUGCUCUAUUAUGCUAUAGUAGCAGUACAUAUGUGUCUCCUAUACUAGAUUAAUUUCUAGUAUGUCCUGCAUCACAAAUGGAUCAAGUUCCAGUUUUAGUUUUGUUGUUAUUAACCUCUACAAUCCUGUUAGCAUACUUAACGAGUAUCUGAAACUAGAUGUUUUCUUGCUCAUAGUAAUUAAAAACAACGGCCAGUUUCUCGUCACCCACUAUUAUUGUCACUUCAUGUCUUGAUCUGUUGUGUCAGGCUGCUGUAGGUGCUGAACUGUGAUCAUUGCAAGGAGGAACCACUGUUUGGCUUCAGUCCUUCCUCAUUUGAUCAUUUUAUAU
This 1300-nucleotide long non-coding RNA is filed under the name Triticum aestivum (bread wheat). Its description in RNAcentral is "long non-coding RNA (TAES_LNC003229)". The record is from RNAcentral. Lineage: Eukaryota; Viridiplantae; Streptophyta; Magnoliopsida; Poales; Poaceae.